GCAGCUUAUGUGGCUAGCAUAGUCUAAAUCUUAAUACUUAUGCAAUUCUUCCCAAACUCAUUAUUUACUCAACACACUCCAUGAGAAUUAUACAAACUAAAAUAAGCAAACUAAGCAUAACUUAGAAAUUCCGAAACAAAGAUACAUAAGAAAGUCUGCAAAAAUUUUCCAUUUUUCAUCACAACUACAUACAUCAAGCAUGCUUCAAUACUUCAGCAGCUAUCAUAGCCAAGAGAAUACCUGGAAAUGAAAAAGGGUAGAGAGAAAUGAGGCAGCAAUAAGCAACAACAAACUAGUAAGUCAGCGCUCAGGAAUCAGGAAACCAAGCAAAAAAAACCACUGGACUUAGCCAAUGGAACAGUAACUUUUAAAACCAACACUUCGAAUCAGCUUUUCAAGACCCCAGAAUCAAACCAUUUUAGCCCCCCAGAUUAAACCAGCAAUGGUUUCACAAUUAGAAAGCUUCAGAAAUCACAAAAGAAAAUAGAUGGAACAGUGUUUUACUAAAGUUUUCAGACGUGAGUAUUAUUUCUGGAUUUUUCUCUUGAAAAUCUCUCUUGGGUCUGCCUUGAAAGGCAAGAAAAGCUGCCUUUAUAGGCAAGUUACUAGGGCAAACUUAGCUUGCACUUUGCCCCCUUUUGAAUUUUGUUUUUUGCUUAAGUGUUCUUAGCUUAAAUUCCAGAAAUUCACUUUAAUCCCUACCCCCAGCUUCCUAGAAGCUUCCCAUUCAGUUACACUCAAGAUUCUUUAGGCCAAUUGCCUAGACUACCCCUCGAAAUGCCCCUUAAUCACACUCAGCAACUCACAGGUCAAGCUGAUCCAAAAGCUUGAUUUGAUACGGGUUAAAAAUCCAGGUUCAAUUCCUUCUUGGGCUUCUGAUUCCUCAGAGUUCAAUUAAAAUCAAACGAUGAUUCUAAUUUUGAAAACCUUACCCAAACUUUCUCUAAACAAAGAAACCUGAACUAUUUGUUUAAAAGCAGCCGAAACCAAAAGCAAAAUGACUGAACUAACCAAUCUAAUUUCAUAACAGCAAUUUAACUAAAUUAUGGGCCUAAUUUCAUUAACUAGGUGAUUAAACUGAUGAUGAAAAACUUAGACGAACAAAACAAGGUGGACUAAAGACAUCAGAUAAUCAAGCUUUCACAACGAAAUGAAAAGAAGAGGAAAAGAGAACAGGAGAUGGAACCAAUUUGAACUCAGACAACCCAAACAAACUUCGCCCAAACCAAAAGAGAAAGAAUGAGGAGGAAGAUGAAACAGUGAAAGAAAAUACAAGAGGGGAGGAGGAACUUACCAAAUCACGGUUCGAAACCUAAUUGAAACACUAGCUUAAACGAAGAGUGAUGUUACUCAGUUGUUCUUUGUAAGAACAAGUGAACAACAUCACAUUCAUGUUCAAACAACCUUCAAUCUUCAGAAGAGCAGGAGCAGGUAGCCAUGCAAACCAUGGAAUCAAGGAUUAACACAUUUUGACCCCUUGGGACUUCGGACCCUAUCCCUAGAUUCAAAAUUCGACGGAUUCGAGAAGGAUUUGAGGAGUAUGGGUUAGGGGUUUGGAGAGAGAGGAGGUCAUGGGGGUUAUGGGGUGUUAAUUUGGGGUUGAACAGAGGUGGCGCCGCCACCGGAGAGAACAAGGGCCGCGUUAGGGUUUCGAUCUUCUGAGCCAGAUUUGAGACAUUCGGGUGUGAUUCGAAAUGAGGAGAAGGAGAGGGAUCUAGGGUGUAAAUCCGGUGUCCAUCGGAGACCUACCGUCGUCGUAGGGCGAUUUCCGGCGGCGGUGCACGGUGGGGUUGAGGUGGAGUCUUUGGGAGUGUUGGAGACGACGAGGAGGGGGGUCUGAGGGUUCCGACACUUAAAUAUUAAGCACACCCUCAGUUCCUGUCCGUUGGAUGGAACAAC
This 1899-nucleotide long non-coding RNA is filed under the name Nicotiana tabacum (common tobacco). Its description in RNAcentral is "long non-coding RNA (NTAB_LNC010374)". The record is from RNAcentral. Lineage: Eukaryota; Viridiplantae; Streptophyta; Magnoliopsida; Solanales; Solanaceae.